CUUAUGGGACGACCCAUAAGCGCGUCUUUAUUCCGGGGACGGCCCCA
This 47-nucleotide non-coding RNA is filed under the name Buttiauxella agrestis. RNAcentral describes it as "Guanidine-II sequence". It matches the Rfam family "Guanidine-II riboswitch aptamer (mini-ykkC)". From Rfam's summary of the family: Simpler in structure and has fewer highly conserved nucleotide positions than the ykkC-yxkD leader. Despite this each of its two stem-loop structures directly bind free guanidine. The record is from RNAcentral. RNAcentral also lists the same sequence under 1 other name. Lineage: Bacteria; Pseudomonadati; Pseudomonadota; Gammaproteobacteria; Enterobacterales; Enterobacteriaceae.